Pangasius djambal is the source of this 71-nucleotide non-coding RNA. Lineage: Eukaryota; Metazoa; Chordata; Actinopteri; Siluriformes; Pangasiidae. The record is from the annotation of a GenBank genome assembly.
UACCUAGAGGACUAGUGGUUAGGCUCGACGCUCGGACCGCUACAGCCCGGGUUCGAUUCCCGGCUAGGGAA